CCUACGGGGGGCUGCAGUGGGGAAUAUUGGACAAUGGGCGAAAGCCUGAUCCAGCCAUGCCGCGUGUGUGAAGAAGGCCUUCGGGUUGUAAAGCACUUUCAGUGGGGAAGAAAGCCUUGGGGCUAAUACCCUCGAGGAAGGACAUCACCCACAGAAGAAGCACCGGCUAACUCCGUGCCAGCAGCCGCGGUAAUACGGAGGGUGCGAGCGUUAAUCGGAAUUACUGGGCGUAAAGCGCGCGUAGGCGGUCUGAUAAGCCGGUUGUGAAAGCCCCGGGCUCAACCUGGGAACGGCAUCCGGAACUGUCAGGCUAGAGUGCAGGAGAGGAAGGUAGAAUUCCCGGUGUAGCGGUGAAAUGCGUAGAGAUCGGGAGGAAUACCAGUGGGGAAGGCGGCCUUCUGGACUGACACUGACGCUGAGGUGCGAAAGCGUGGGUAGCAAACAGGAUUAGAUACCCGAGUAGU
This 464-nucleotide ribosomal RNA is filed under the name Vreelandella stevensii. Its description in RNAcentral is "partial 16S ribosomal RNA". It matches the Rfam family "Bacterial small subunit ribosomal RNA", at positions 338 to 794 of the family's 1533-position model. The record is from RNAcentral. Lineage: Bacteria; Pseudomonadati; Pseudomonadota; Gammaproteobacteria; Oceanospirillales; Halomonadaceae.